GCCUUCGUAGUGUAGUGGUCAGCACGUUCGACGCCUAUUCGAGAGGUCCGCGGUUCGAGUCCCAGCGAACGCA
This 73-nucleotide transfer RNA is filed under the name Stegodyphus mimosarum. It matches the Rfam family "tRNA". From Rfam's summary of the family: Transfer RNA (tRNA) molecules are approximately 80 nucleotides in length. Their secondary structure includes four short double-helical elements and three loops (D, anti-codon, and T loops). The record is from Rfam by way of RNAcentral. Lineage: Eukaryota; Metazoa; Arthropoda; Arachnida; Araneae; Eresidae.